Molecule: unclassified non-coding RNA, 329 nt
Filed under: soil metagenome
Description: partial contains 5.8S ribosomal RNA, internal transcribed spacer 2, and large subunit ribosomal RNA
Rfam family: 5.8S ribosomal RNA (bases 1-120)
Source: RNAcentral
GAUGAAGAACGUAGCGAAAUGCGAUAAGUAAUGUGAAUUGCAGAAUUCAGUGAAUCAUCGAAUCUUUGAACGCACAUUGCGCCCCCUGGUAUUCCGGGGGGCAUGCCUGUCCGAGCGUCAUUACAACCCUCAAGCUCAGCUUGGUAUUGGGCCCCGCCGCUCCGGCGGGCCCUAAAGUCAGUGGCGGUGCCGUCCGGCUCCGAGCGUAGUAAUUCUUCUCGCUCUGGAGGUCCGGUCGUGUGCUCGCCAGCAACCCCCAAUUUUUUUCAGGUUGACCUCGGAUCAGGUAGAGAUACCCGCUGAACUUAAGCAUAUCAAUAAGCGGAGGA